CUACGGGCGGCUGCAGUGAGGAAUAUUGCACAAUGGGGGGAACCCUGAUGCAGCAACGCCGCGUGGAGGAUGACGCAUUUCGGUGUGUAAACUCCUUUUAUAUGCCAAGAAAAUGACGAUAGCAUAUGAAUAAGCACCGGCUAACUCCGUGCCAGCAGCCGCGGUAAUACGGAGGGUGCAAGCGUUACUCGGAAUCACUGGGCGUAAAGGACGCGUAGGCGGGUUGGAAAGUCAGGUGUGAAAUCCUACAGCUUAACUGUAGAACUGCACUUGAAACUUCUAAUCUAGAGUAUGGGAGGGGGAGAUGGAAUUAGUGGUGUAGGGGUAAAAUCCGUAGAUAUCACUAGGAAUACCUAAAGCGAAGGCGAUCUCCUGGAACAUUACUGACGCUAAGGCGUGAAAGCGUGGGGAGCAAACAGGAUUAGAUACCCGAGUAGUC
RNAcentral lists this ribosomal RNA (439 nucleotides) under uncultured bacterium. Its description in RNAcentral is "partial 16S ribosomal RNA". It matches the Rfam family "Bacterial small subunit ribosomal RNA", at positions 339 to 795 of the family's 1533-position model. The record is from RNAcentral.